GACGAACGCUGGCGGCGUGCUUAACACAUGCAAGUCGAACGGAAAGGCCCUGCUUGCCGGGUACUCGAGUGGCGAACGGGUGAGUAACACGUGGGUGAUCUGCCCUGCACUUCGGGAUAAGCCUGGGAAACUGGGUCUAAUACCGGAUAGGAGCCAUUCUUAGUGUGAUGGUUGGAAAGUUUUUUCGGUGUAGGAUGAGCUCGCGGCCUAUCAGCUUGUUGGUGGGGUAAUGGCCUACCAAGGCGGCGACGGGUAGCCGGCCUGAGAGGGUGGACGGCCACAUUGGGACUGAGAUACGGCCCAGACUCCUACGGGAGGCAGCAGUGGGGAAUAUUGCACAAUGGGCGCAAGCCGGAUGCAGCGACGCCGCGGGGGGGAUGACGGCCUUAGGGUUGGAAACUCCUUUCGCUAGGGACGAAGCUUUUUGUGACGGUACCUAGAUAAGAAGCACCGGCUAACUACGUG
This 465-nucleotide ribosomal RNA is filed under the name uncultured bacterium. RNAcentral describes it as "partial 16S ribosomal RNA". It matches the Rfam family "Bacterial small subunit ribosomal RNA", at positions 28 to 507 of the family's 1533-position model. The record is from RNAcentral.